CGACGCUGGCGGCGUGCCUAAUACAUGCAAGUCGAGCGCAGGAAGCCGUCUGAACCCUUCGGGGGGACGACGGUGGAAUGAGCGGCGGACGGGUGAGUAACACGUAAAGAACCUGCCCAUAGGUCUGGGAUAACCACGAGAAAUCGGGGCUAAUACCGGAUGUGUCAUCGGACCGCAUGGUCCGCUGAUGAAAGGCGCUCCGGCGUCGCCCAUGGAUGGCUUUGCGGUGCAUUAGCUAGUUGGUGGGGUAACGGCCCACCAAGGCGACGAUGCAUAGCCGACCUGAGAGGGUGAUCGGCCACACUGGGACUGAGACACGGCCCAGACUCCUACGGGAGGCAGCAGUAGGGAAUCUUCCACAAUGGACGAAAGUCUGAUGGAGCAACGCCGCGUGAACGAUGAAGGCUUUCGGGUCGUAAAGUUCUGUUGUAAGGGAAGAACAAGUGCCGCAGGCAAUGGCGGCACCUUGACGGUACCUUGCGAGAAAGCCACGGCUAACUACGUGCCAGCAGCCGCGGUAAUACGUAGGUGGCAAGCGUUGUCCGGAAUUAUUGGGCGUAAAGCGCGCGCACGCGGCCUCUUAAGUCUGAUGUGAAAGCCCCCGGCUCAACCGGGGAGGGCCAUUGGAAACUGG
RNAcentral lists this ribosomal RNA (634 nucleotides) under Exiguobacterium profundum. Its description in RNAcentral is "bacterial SSU rRNA". It matches the Rfam family "Bacterial small subunit ribosomal RNA", at positions 31 to 636 of the family's 1533-position model. Lineage: Bacteria; Bacillati; Bacillota; Bacilli; Caryophanales. The record is from RNAcentral.